UACGGAGGAUGCGAGCGUUAUCCGGAUUUAUUGGGUUUAAAGGGUGCGUAGGCGGCCUGCCAAGUCAGCGGUAAAAUUGCGGGGCUCAACCCCGUACAGCCGUUGAAACUGCCGGGCUCGAGUGGGCGAGAAGUAUGCGGAAUGCGUGGUGUAGCGGUGAAAUGCAUAGAUAUCACGCAGAACCCCGAUUGCGAAGGCAGCAUACCGGCGCCCUACUGACGCUGAGGCACGAAAGUGCGGGGGUCAAACAGG
This 252-nucleotide ribosomal RNA is filed under the name uncultured bacterium. RNAcentral's name for it is "partial 16S ribosomal RNA". It matches the Rfam family "Bacterial small subunit ribosomal RNA", at positions 524 to 776 of the family's 1533-position model. The record is from RNAcentral.